UUCCAGACUCCUACGGGAGGCAGCAGUGGGGGAUAUUGCACAAUGGGGGAAACCCUGAUGCAGCGACGCCGCGUGGGUGAAGAAGCGCCUCGGCGCGUAAAGCCCUGUCAGCAGGGAAGAAAAUGACGGUACCUGAAGAAGAAGCCCCGGCUAACUACGUGCCAGCAGCCGCGGUAAUACGUAGGGGGCAAGCGUUAUCCGGAUUUACUGGGUGUAAAGGGAGCGUAGGCGGCGAUGCAAGUCAGAAGUGAAAGCCCGGGGCUCAACUCCGGGACUGCUUUUGAAACUGUAUGGCUAGAUUGCAGGAGAGGCAAGUGGAAUUCCUAGUGUAGCGGUGAAAUGCGUAGAUAUUAGGAGGAACACCAGUGGCGAAGGCGGCCUGCUGGACGAUGACUGACGUUGAGGCUCGAAAGCGUGGGGAGCAAACAGGAUUAGAUACCCUCGUAAG
This 448-nucleotide ribosomal RNA is filed under the name uncultured bacterium. RNAcentral's name for it is "bacterial SSU rRNA". It matches the Rfam family "Bacterial small subunit ribosomal RNA", at positions 329 to 793 of the family's 1533-position model. The record is from RNAcentral.